CAGCAGCCGCGGGAAUACGGAGGGAGCUAGCGUUAUUCGGAAUUACUGGGCGUAAAGCGCACGUAGGCGGCUUUGUAAGUAAGAGGUGAAAGCCCGGGGCUCAACCCCGGAAUUGCCUUUUAGACUGCAUCGCUUGAAUCAUGGAGAGGUCAGUGGAAUUCCGAGUGUAGAGGUGAAAUUCGUAGAUAUUCGGAAGAACACCAGUGGCGAAGGCGGCUGACUGGACAUGUAUUGACGCUGAGGUGCGAAAGCGUGGGGAGCAAACAGGAUUAGAUACCCCAGUAGUCCCUGUCUCUUAUAA
This 301-nucleotide ribosomal RNA is filed under the name uncultured bacterium. RNAcentral describes it as "partial 16S ribosomal RNA". It matches the Rfam family "Bacterial small subunit ribosomal RNA", at positions 509 to 809 of the family's 1533-position model. The record is from RNAcentral.